This 637-nucleotide ribosomal RNA is filed under the name uncultured Alphaproteobacteria bacterium. Its description in RNAcentral is "bacterial SSU rRNA". It matches the Rfam family "Bacterial small subunit ribosomal RNA", at positions 50 to 733 of the family's 1533-position model. Lineage: Bacteria; Pseudomonadati; Pseudomonadota; Alphaproteobacteria. The record is from RNAcentral.
AACACAUGCAAGUCGAGCGGACCUUUCGGGGUCAGCGGCGGACGGGUGAGUAACGCGUGGGAACGUGCCUUCCGGUUCGGAAUAACCCUGGGAAACUAGGGCUAAUACCGGAUACGCCCUUAUGGGGAAAGGUUUACUGCCGGAAGAUCGGCCCGCGUCUGAUUAGCUAGUUGGUGGGGUAACGGCCUACCAAGGCGACGAUCAGUAGCUGGUCUGAGAGGAUGAUCAGCCACACUGGGACUGAGACACGGCCCAGACUCCUACGGGAGGCAGCAGUGGGGAAUAUUGGACAAUGGGCGCAAGCCUGAUCCAGCCAUGCCGCGUGAGUGAUGAAGGCCUUAGGGUUGUAAAGCUCUUUUAUCCGGGACGAUAAUGACGGUACCGGAGGAAUAAGCCCCGGCUAACUUCGUGCCAGCAGCCGCGGUAAUACGAAGGGGGCUAGCGUUGCUCGGAAUCACUGGGCGUAAAGGGCGCGUAGGCGGCGUUUUAAGUCGGGGGUGAAAGCCUGUGGCUCAACCACAGAAUGGCCCUCGAUACUGGGACGCUUGAGUAUGGUAGAGGUUGGUGGAACUGCGAGUGUAGAGGUGAAAUUCGUAGAUAUUCGCAAGAACACCGGUGGCGAAGGCGGCCAACUGGA